This is an RNA transcript of Vigna angularis (adzuki bean), 2056 nucleotides long. It is a transcript of the gene named eukaryotic peptide chain release factor subunit 1-3, with no coding region annotated. Lineage: Eukaryota; Viridiplantae; Streptophyta; Magnoliopsida; Fabales; Fabaceae. The record is from RefSeq and is a predicted model, not a curated record. The transcript is spliced from 5 exons.
ACGGAGCAUCGGCGACGACACCGUUUUUUGCGCUUCAAAACCACUAACGCAUACACUCUCCCUACGAACAAACUCACCAUUUCAUAGUUGAGCUAGGGCACGCUUCUCUCUCUGCGGCCUCUUUUCUCCCUCGCCGCCGCUACAACAAAGGUUUUUGGUUUAUUAUUGUUUGAAGAUGGCUGACGGUCAUGAGACUGAUAAGAACAUUGAGGUGUGGAAAAUCAAGAAAUUGAUCAAAGCUCUUGAGGCUGCUAGAGGAAAUGGGACAAGUAUGAUUUCACUUAUUAUGCCCCCGCGAGAUCAAAUAUCUCGUGUCACUAAGAUGCUUGGUGACGAGUUUGGAACUGCUUCAAACAUCAAAAGCAGGGUGAACCGACAGUCAGUUCUAGGUGCUAUAACUUCUGCUCAACAGAGGCUUAAGCUCUAUAACAAGGUUCCUCCAAAUGGGCUCGUGUUGUAUACUGGCACAAUUGUGACUGAAGAUGGGAAGGAAAAGAAGGUCACCAUUGAUUUUGAGCCUUUCAGACCUAUUAAUGCAUCUCUUUAUCUCUGUGACAAUAAGUUUCACACUGAAGCUUUGAAUGAGCUCCUGGAGUCGGAUGACAAGUUUGGAUUUAUUGUCAUGGAUGGUAAUGGUACUUUGUUUGGGACAUUGAGUGGUAACACAAGAGAGGUGCUUCAUAAAUUCAGUGUGGAUCUCCCAAAGAAACAUGGAAGAGGAGGGCAAUCAGCUUUGCGUUUUGCCCGUCUUCGCAUGGAGAAGCGUCAUAACUAUGUCAGGAAGACAGCAGAGCUUGCUACCCAGUUCUAUAUCAAUCCUACCACCAGUCAACCCAAUGUUUCUGGAUUAAUACUGGCUGGUUCUGCUGAUUUCAAAACUGAGCUUAGUCAGUCAGACAUGUUUGAUCCUCGACUUCAGGCAAAAAUACUUAAUGUUGUUGAUGUUUCAUAUGGAGGAGAAAAUGGUUUUAAUCAGGCUAUUGAGUUGUCUGCUGAAAUUCUUUCCAAUGUAAAGUUUAUCCAGGAGAAACGAUUGAUUGGAAAAUACUUCGAGGAAAUCAGCCAGGAUACGGGAAAGUAUGUUUUUGGGGUUGAUGAUACCCUGAAAGCGUUGGAGAUGGGUGCUGUUGAGACACUUAUUGUCUGGGAAAAUCUGGAUAUGAACAGGUAUACCUUGAAAAAUGGUGCUACCGGAGAGAUUGUCAUUAAGCACUAUAGCAAGGAACAGGAGGCCAACCAAAGCAAUUUUCGGGAUCCUGAAAGCUCUUCUGAUUUUGAGGUUCAGGAGAAGUUGUCUCUUUUGGAGUGGUUUGCAAAUGAAUACAAACGGUUUGGUUGCACUCUUGAAUUUGUCACCAAUAAAUCUCAAGAAGGUUCACAGUUUUGCAGAGGUUUUGGUGGGAUAGGUGGAAUCUUGCGUUACCAGCUUGAUAUGCGAACAUUUGAUGAUUUCUCUGAUGAUGGAGGCGUCUAUGACUCUGAAUAGCAAUCAAUGAAAUACUUCCUACUGCUGGUGCAGGGAAGGGGAGCCAAAAUACCUGCACCAGUGUUGGAGGUGGUUGCACUCGCUGCUGCACCUCCUCCAUAUCUGUCCGUGGUGUUGCUUGGAAUGUUUGAUUGUGAAUCAAGAUGCUUUGCCUCUGAAGUGCCUCUUUCUGAUACGAGUUACUUUCUUGUUCUCCUAUCUUGCACACUCUGGCUCCACAAAUUUCUACAAAGCUUCUGGCAACACCUGCUCCCCAGCUCUCUACUGCUUGCCCCCAGAAAAGCCAGAACAAAAAUAUGUUCCUCAGAGAAACACUGCCUGGAAUCAAAGAAGGUGAACCCAGAUGCUUCGCUGAACGCAGUGUUCUGAAGGAUGCCCAGCAUAUAGGGCACCCGGAGUGCUCGAGUCUGUGACCAUACCUUUCAUGCAUUAUGAUCUAUCUUUCAAAACUUUACCCUGUUGAACUGAUGUUAGUUUUGUUUUCCCGGUACUUGAAACAUGUGAUUCUAGUAUGACUUGUAUUUAUUUAUGGUACUACUUAAUGGUAUGGUGAUGUGUUUUUUAUGAAAA